AGAGAAGAUUUUUUUU
This 16-nucleotide unclassified non-coding RNA is filed under the name synthetic construct. The record is from RNAcentral.